Molecule: ribosomal RNA, 836 nt
Filed under: Streptococcus thermophilus
Lineage: Bacteria; Bacillati; Bacillota; Bacilli; Lactobacillales; Streptococcaceae
Description: bacterial SSU rRNA
Rfam family: Bacterial small subunit ribosomal RNA
Source: RNAcentral
CUUGCUCUUCUUGGAUGAGUUGCGAACGGGUGAGUAACGCGUAGGUAACCUGCCUUGUAGCGGGGGAUAACUAUUGGAAACGAUAGCUAAUACCGCAUAACAAUGGAUGACACAUGUCAUUUAUUUGAAAGGGGCAAUUGCUCCACUACAAGAUGGACCUGCGUUGUAUUAGCUAGUAGGUGAGGUAAUGGCUCACCUAGGCGACGAUACAUAGCCGACCUGAGAGGGUGAUCGGCCACACUGGGACUGAGACACGGCCCAGACUCCUACGGGAGGCAGCAGUAGGGAAUCUUCGGCAAUGGGGGCAACCCUGACCGAGCAACGCCGCGUGAGUGAAGAAGGUUUUCGGAUCGUAAAGCUCUGUUGUAAGUCAAGAACGGGUGUGAGAGUGGAAAGUUCACACUGUGACGGUAGCUUACCAGAAAGGGACGGCUAACUACGUGCCAGCAGCCGCGGUAAUACGUAGGUCCCGAGCGUUGUCCGGAUUUAUUGGGCGUAAAGCGAGCGCAGGCGGUUUGAUAAGUCUGAAGUUAAAGGCUGUGGCUCAACCAUAGUUCGCUUUGGAAACUGUCAAACUUGAGUGCAGAAGGGGAGAGUGGAAUUCCAUGUGUAGCGGUGAAAUGCGUAGAUAUAUGGAGGAACACCGGUGGCGAAAGCGGCUCUCUGGUCUGUAACUGACGCUGAGGCUCGAAAGCGUGGGGAGCGAACAGGAUUAGAUACCCUGGUAGUCCACGCCGUAAACGAUGAGUGCUAGGUGUUGGAUCCUUUCCGGGAUUCAGUGCCGCAGCUAACGCAUUAAGCACUCCGCCUGGGGAGUACGACCGCAAGGUUGAAAC